RNAcentral lists this ribosomal RNA (464 nucleotides) under uncultured bacterium. Its description in RNAcentral is "partial 16S ribosomal RNA". It matches the Rfam family "Bacterial small subunit ribosomal RNA", at positions 339 to 795 of the family's 1533-position model. The record is from RNAcentral.
CUACGGGGUGCUGCAGUGAGGAAUUUUGCGCAAUGGGGGAAACCCUGACGCAGCAACGCCGCGUGAGCGAAGAAGGCCUUCGGGUCGUAAAGCUCUGUCAAGUGGGAAAAAAAUCUUUUGAUCAAUAGUCAAAAGACUUGACGGUACCACUGGAGGAAGCACCGGCUAACUCCGUGCCAGCAGCCGCGGUAAUACGGAGGGUGCAAGCGUUGUUCGGAUUUACUGGGCGUAAAGAGCGUGUAGGCGGUUUAGCAAGUCAGAUGUGAAAGCCCUGGGCUCAACCCGGGAAGUGCAUUUGAAACUGCUUCACUAGAGUAUGGGAGAGGAGAUUGGAAUUCCUGGUGUAGAGGUGAAAUUCGUAGAUAUCAGGAGGAACACCCGUGGCGAAGGCGAUUCUCUGGACCAAUACUGACGCUGAGACGCGAAAGCGUGGGGAGCAAACAGGAUUAGAUACCCGGGUAGUC